This 209-nucleotide ribosomal RNA is filed under the name uncultured bacterium. RNAcentral's name for it is "partial 16S ribosomal RNA". It matches the Rfam family "Bacterial small subunit ribosomal RNA", at positions 568 to 774 of the family's 1533-position model. The record is from RNAcentral.
CUCGUAGGCGGCCAACUAAGUCCGACGUGAAAUCCCAAGGCUUAACCUCGGAACUGCGUCGGAUACUGGAUGGCUUGAAUUCGGGAGAGGGAUGCAGAAUUCCAGGUGUAGCGGUGAAAUGCGUAGAUAUCUGGAGGAAUACCGGUGGCGAAGGCGGCAUCCUGGACCGACAUUGACGCUGAGGAGCGAAAGCUAGGGGAAGGCAAACG